RNAcentral lists this ribosomal RNA (535 nucleotides) under uncultured Acidobacteriota bacterium. Its description in RNAcentral is "bacterial SSU rRNA". It matches the Rfam family "Bacterial small subunit ribosomal RNA", at positions 13 to 529 of the family's 1533-position model. The record is from RNAcentral. Lineage: Bacteria; Pseudomonadati; Acidobacteriota.
UUGAUCCUGGCUCAGAAUCAACGCUGGCGGCGUGCCUAACACAUGCAAGUCGAACGCGAAAACCCCGCAAGGGGUUAGUAGAGUGGCGAACGGGUGAGUUACACGUGGGUGACCUACCUUCGAAUGGGGGAUAACGUCCCGAAAGGGACUCUAAUACCGCAUAACAUCCUGCCUUUGAACAGGUGGAGAUCAAAGCCGGUGAUCGCAAGACCUGGCGUUUGAAGAGGGGUCCGCGUCUGAUUAGCUAGUUGGUGAGGUAACGGCUCACCAAGGCGACGAUCAGUAUCCGGCCUGAGAGGUCGGACGGACACACUGGGACUGAGACACGGCCCAGACUCCUACGGGAGGCUGCAGUGGGGAAUUGUUCGCAAUGGGCGCAAGCCUGACGACGCAACGCCGUGUGGAGGAUGAAGGUCUUCGGAUUGUAAACUCCUGUUGCCCGGGACGAAUUGCUCCAACCUAAUACGUUGGAGUUUGACGGUACCGGGUGAGGAAGCCCUGGCUAACUCUGUGCCAGCAGCCGCGGUAAUAAGGU